UACAGAGGGUCCCAAGCGUUGUUCGGAUUCAUUGGGCGUAAAGGGUGCGUAGGCGGCGCGGUAAGUCGGGUGUGAAACUCUCGGGGCUUGAACUCCGAAACUGCAUUCGAUACUGCCGUGCUUGAGGACUGGGAGAGGAGACUGGAAUUUACGGUGUAGCGGUGAAAUGCGUAGAUAUCGUAAGGAAGACCAGUGGCGAAGGCGGGUCUCUGGACAGUUCCUGACGCUGAGGCACGAAGGACCCAGGGGAGGCAAAACGGG
This 261-nucleotide ribosomal RNA is filed under the name uncultured bacterium. RNAcentral's name for it is "partial 16S ribosomal RNA". It matches the Rfam family "Bacterial small subunit ribosomal RNA", at positions 524 to 777 of the family's 1533-position model. The record is from RNAcentral.